CAAAUUGAAGCUUAAAUGAAGCAUUUUAGUUACAUUAAAAGGAUGAUUGUGUGAUUCAGUCUAAUUUGA
RNAcentral lists this transfer RNA (69 nucleotides) under Oulema melanopus. RNAcentral describes it as "tRNA-Val". Lineage: Eukaryota; Metazoa; Arthropoda; Insecta; Coleoptera; Chrysomelidae. The record is from RNAcentral.